CUAGUUGGUAGGGUAACGGCCUACCAAGGCUUUGAUCGUUAGCUGGUCUGAGAGGAUGGCCAGCCACACUGGAACUGAGACACGGUCCAGACUCCUACGGGAGGCAGCAGUGGGGAAUCUUGCACAAUGGGCGAAAGCCUGAUGCAGCGACGCCGCGUGGGGGAUGAAGCAUCUCGGUGUGUAAACCCCUUUCGACCCGGAAGAAUGCCUCGCAAGAGGACUGACGGUACGGGUAUAAGAAGCCCCGGCUAACUACGUGCCAGCAGCCGCGGUAAGACGUAGGGGGCCAGCGUUGUUCGGAAUUACUGGGUGUAAAGGGUUCGUAGGCGGUGUGGCAAGUUGGGAGUGAAAUCUCUGGGCUCAACCCAGAGGCUGCUUCCAAAACUGCUGUGCUUGAGUGUGGGAGAGGCGCGUGGAAUUGCAGGUGUAGCGGUGAAAUGCGUAGAUAUCUGCAGGAACACCCGUGGCGAAAGCGGCGCGCUGGACCACUACUGACGCUGAGGAACGAAAGCUAGGGGAGCAAACAGGAUUAGAUACCCUGGUAGUCCUAGCCCUAAACGAUCAGGACUUGGGGUGCCACCCGUUCGGGUGUCGUCCCGGAGCUAACGCGUUAAGUCCUGCACCUGGGGAGUACGGUCGCAAGACUGAAACUCAAAGGAAUUGACG
RNAcentral lists this ribosomal RNA (666 nucleotides) under uncultured Acidobacteriota bacterium. RNAcentral's name for it is "SSU rRNA". It matches the Rfam family "Bacterial small subunit ribosomal RNA", at positions 245 to 915 of the family's 1533-position model. Lineage: Bacteria; Pseudomonadati; Acidobacteriota. The record is from RNAcentral.